UACGGGGGGGGCAAGCGUUGUUCGGAAUUACUGGGCGUAAAGGGCUCGUAGGCGGCCAACUAAGUCAGACGUGAAAUCCCUCGGCUUAACCGGGGAACUGCAUCUGAUACUGGAUGGCUUGAGUUCGGGAGAGGGAUGUGGAAUUCCAGGUGUAGCGGUGAAAUGCGUAGAUAUCUGGAGGAACACCGGUGGCGAAGGCGCGAUCCUGGACCGACACUGACGCUGAGGAGCGAAAGCCAGGGGAGCAAACGGG
Molecule: ribosomal RNA, 253 nt
Filed under: uncultured bacterium
Lineage: Bacteria
Description: partial 16S ribosomal RNA
Rfam family: Bacterial small subunit ribosomal RNA
Source: RNAcentral